AGUUGAGCGGAGAUAUAUGGAGCUUGCUUUAUAUAACUUAGCAGCGAACGGGUGAGUAACACGUAGAUAAUCUAUCCUAUACUGGGGGAUAGCCCGAUGAAAGUUGGAUUAAUACCGCAUAUAGCUAUAUAGUUGCAUGAUUAUGUAGUGAAAGAUUUAUUGGUAUAGGAGGAGUCUGCGGCACAUUAGCUAGUAGGUGAGGUAAAGGCUUACCUAGGCGACGAUGUGUAGCCGGUCUGAGAGGAUGAACGGCCACAAUGGAACUGAGACACGGUCCAUACUCCUACGGGAGGCAGCAGUGGGGAAUAUUGCACAAUGGGGGAAACCCUGAUGCAGCAACGCCGCGUGAGUGAAGAAGGUUUUCGGAUUGUAAAGCUCUGUUAGCAGGGAAGAGGAAGGACGGUACCUGCAGAGGAAGCCACGGCUAACUACGUGCCAGCAGCCGCGGUAAUACGUAGGUGGCAAGCGUUGUUCGGAAUAACCGGGCGUAAAGGAUGCGUAGGCGGUUAAACAAGUUAUAUGUUAAAUAUAUAGGCUUAACCUGUAGAAAGCAUAUAAAACUGUUUAACUAGAGUGCAGGAGAGGUAAGUGGAAUUCCUAGUGUAGCGGUGAAAUGCGUAGAGAUUAGGAAGAACACCAGUGGCGAAGGCGACUUACUGGACUGUAACUGACGCUGAGGCAUGAGAGCAUGGGGAGCAAACAGGAUUAGAUACCCUGGUAGUCCAUGCUGUAAACGAUGGGUACUAGGUGUGGGUUGUGAAUAACAAUUCGUGCCGUCGCAAACGCAAUAAGUACCCCGCC
RNAcentral lists this ribosomal RNA (801 nucleotides) under uncultured bacterium. RNAcentral describes it as "bacterial SSU rRNA". It matches the Rfam family "Bacterial small subunit ribosomal RNA", at positions 60 to 873 of the family's 1533-position model. The record is from RNAcentral.